GACGAACGCUGGCGGCAUGCUUCAUACAUGCAAGUCGAACGAUAAGGUCUCUUCGGAGAUACAUAAGUGGCGGACGGGUGAGUAAUAUGUAGGAAAUCUGCCCUAGAGAGGGGGACAACAGAGGGAAACUUCUGCUAAUACCCCAUAUGAGCGUACCUGAAAUGGUAUUCUUGAAAACUCCGGUGCUCUAGGAUGAGCCUGCAUCUGAUUAGCUAGUUGGCGGUGUAAUGGACCACCAAGGCGACGAUCAGUAGCUGGUUUGAGAGGAUGAUCAGCCACAAUGGGACUGAGACACGGCCCAU
This 302-nucleotide ribosomal RNA is filed under the name uncultured bacterium. RNAcentral's name for it is "bacterial SSU rRNA". It matches the Rfam family "Bacterial small subunit ribosomal RNA", at positions 28 to 334 of the family's 1533-position model. The record is from RNAcentral.